UACGUAGGGGCAAGCGUUGUCCGGAUUUAUUGGGCGUAAAGAGCGUGUAGGCGGCUAGGUAGGUCCGUUGUGAAAACUCGAGGCUCAACCUCGAGACGCCGGUGGAAACCAUCUAGCUAGAGUCCGGAAGAGGAGAGUGGAAUUCCUGGUGUAGCGGUGAAAUGCGCAGAUAUCAGGAAGAACACCCGUGGCGAAGGCGGCUCUCUGGGACGUGACUGACGCUGAGGCACGAAGGCCAGGGGAGCAAACGGG
This 252-nucleotide ribosomal RNA is filed under the name uncultured bacterium. RNAcentral describes it as "partial 16S ribosomal RNA". It matches the Rfam family "Bacterial small subunit ribosomal RNA", at positions 524 to 776 of the family's 1533-position model. The record is from RNAcentral.